Molecule: ribosomal RNA, 253 nt
Filed under: uncultured bacterium
Lineage: Bacteria
Description: partial 16S ribosomal RNA
Rfam family: Bacterial small subunit ribosomal RNA
Source: RNAcentral
UACGGAGGGGGCUAGCGUUGUUCGGAAUUACUGGGCGUAAAGGGUGCGUAGGCGGCGAUCCAAGUCAGGCGUGAAAGCCCCGGGCUCAACCUGGGAGGUGCGCUUGAUACUGGAUUGCUCGAGUCCGGGAGAGGAUAGCGGAAUUCCCAGUGUAGAGGUGAAAUUCGUAGAUAUUGGGAAGAACACCAGUGGCGAAGGCGGCUAUCUGGACCGGCACUGACGCUGAGGCACGAUAGCGUGGGGAGCAAACAGG